RNAcentral lists this long non-coding RNA (1525 nucleotides) under Homo sapiens (human). Its description in RNAcentral is "HSALNT0020208". Lineage: Eukaryota; Metazoa; Chordata; Mammalia; Primates; Hominidae. The record is from RNAcentral.
GAACAGAGGUACUGGCCACGGAUCCAUUGCAGAGGAGCCAGCUUAUACUCCCACGGUGCUAGGAAGGAGGCGGGACAGAUGAAAACAUCGAGGCUUAGAGGGGUUUCUGAGUAGCUGAGAAGUCAGGACUUCACACUCCCGAUCUUUCCCCUGGCCUCCAGUUUGCCUGGCAAAGUCACAGGAAGUAUCUCCAUGGCACCGCAUCAGCCCUCACAGAGCAGGAAACCUUGAUUUCUACAGAGGCUGUUUCCUCCCAGCCUUGUGCAAGGCCCACUGCAGAGACAAAAUUAUGGUGGCCAAAGUGUGAAUGCCAAGGCCACACUGGCCUCCAUCCCUGGGAUUUGCUGGUAGAAGAAAGGGAAUCAGCGCUGACUGAGCUCCUACUAUGUGCCCUUCCUGGGCCUGGCACUGGAAUCACAGGAUGAAUGAAUAAGGCAUAUUUCCUGCCCUGAGGAGGCGUCUAUAGGGGAAGUCGGAAUUAAGGCACCUCCAGAAUUCUGAGGUCAAGGGAAUGUCAACAGAGCUGUGAACAAAAUGCCCAAAGCCAUGAAAAUCUACAGAGAGAGACUCGAAGGGGAGGAAUGGGGCCAGGCUGAGGUCGGGAUGGUGGAGGAGGUGGUGGAGGUGAUGAGGUACCAGAGCAACCUCGAAGAAAGCUGAGAGGCAGGAGACCGCCAAAGGCAAACUUGGAACACCUGGUGACUCCGACUAACUCUCCAUGUGGUGUCCUUGAGGACUUUUAUGAUACUGCUACCACUGCUAAUAGUAAUAAAAGCCACUAUUUAAUGUGUUUACUAUGCGCUGGGUGUGCAAAUAUUGUGGAAAGAGUGAACAUAUGUGCAGAAUGCUUAAUAAACGUGAUCUCCUUUUAUCUUCAAAAGAACAAUACAGGCCAGGUGCGGUGGCUCAUGCCUAUAAUUCCAGCACUUUGGGAGGCCGAGGCAGAUGGAUUGCUUGAGCUCAAGAAGUUUCAGACCAGCCUGGGCAACAUGGCAAAACCCCAUCUCUACAAAAAAAUACCCAAAAAAUUAGCCAGGUGUGAUGUUGCCUGCCUGUGGUCCCAGCUACUCCAGAGGUUGAGGUGGGAGAAUCGCGUGAGCCCAGAAGGUCAAGGCUGCAGUGAGCUGUGAUCCUGCCACUGCACUCCAGCCUGGGGUGACAGAGUGAGACCCUGCCUAAAAAAAAAAGAAUCAAUACGAUUAAUACUUUUACUUCUAUUUUUCAGACAAGGAAAUUGAGGCUCAGAGAGGUUAGGAACUUGCCAGAAGACCUACCAGCAAGUGGCAGAGCUAAGGUCCCAUCUGACCCCAAAGCCCACCCAUAACCGCUAUGCAGUACUGUCCAGGCAGAAACACAAACAUUACCCCAUUGUUUUUAUUCUUCAACACCUUUGGUAUCAUCCAGUCCCAGGACACUGGCUCCUGAGGAAGGAAGGCCCCUCCCACAUCCUUUAAAAUUCCCAGGCAUAAAACCAUGUUCACCAGCCACCGUGAGGGUAAGCCUCAGAGACAGGGACCGUGCCCAC